GAUGAACGCUGGCGGCGUGCCUAAUACAUGCAAGUCGAGCGAACAGACGAGGAGCUUGCUCCUUUUACGUUAUCGUCGGACGGGUGAGUAACACGUGGGUAACCUACCUAUAAGACUGGGAUAACUUCGGUAAACCGGACCUCUUACCGGAUAAUAUUUCGAACCGCAUGGUUCGAUCUUGAAAGAUGGCUUUGCUAUUACUUAUACAUUGACCUGCGCCGUAUUAUCAAGUUGGUAAGGUAACGGCUUACCAAGGCAACGAUACGUAGCCGACCGGAUAGGGGGAUCGGCAACACGGGAACUGAGACACGGUCCAGACUCCUACGGAAGGCAGCAGGAGGGAAUCUUCCGAAAUGGGGGAAAGCCUGACGGAGAAAGGCCGCGUGAGGGAUGAAGGUCUUCGGAUCGAAAAACUCGGUUAUUAGGGAAGAAGAAACGUGUAAGUAACGGUGCACGACUUGACGGUACCUAAUCAGAAAGCCACGGCUAACUACGUG
RNAcentral lists this ribosomal RNA (497 nucleotides) under uncultured bacterium. Its description in RNAcentral is "partial 16S ribosomal RNA". It matches the Rfam family "Bacterial small subunit ribosomal RNA", at positions 28 to 507 of the family's 1533-position model. The record is from RNAcentral.